This 523-nucleotide ribosomal RNA is filed under the name Leptodactylus validus. RNAcentral describes it as "partial large subunit ribosomal RNA". It matches the Rfam family "Bacterial large subunit ribosomal RNA", at positions 1926 to 2596 of the family's 2925-position model. The record is from RNAcentral. Lineage: Eukaryota; Metazoa; Chordata; Amphibia; Anura; Leptodactylidae.
AACGGCCGCGGUAUCCUAACCGUGCGAAGGUAGCGUAAUCACUUGUUCUUUAAAUGAGGACUAGUAUGAAUGGCACCACGAAGGUUAUACUGUCUCCUUCCCCUAAUCAGUGAAACUAAUCUUCCCGUGAAGAAGCGGGAAUAAACCUAUAAGACGAGAAGACCCUAUGGAGCUUUAAACACAGUAAUAACUGCCCCUCCCCCCUUAUGCACCUCCGGGAAAAACUACCUUACCUGGGCACCCUAAUUACAAGUUUUAGGUUGGGGUGACCGCGGAGCAAAAAAUAACCUCCACAGUGAACGGGACUCUUCCCCUAAAUUCAGGGCCACAGCCCUAAGAAUCAAUAAAUUGACACCCAUUGACCCAAUACUUUUGAUCAAUGAACCAAGUUACCCUAGGGAUAACAGCGCAAUCCACUUCAAGAGCUCCUAUCGACAAGUGGGUUUACGACCUCGAUGUUGGAUCAGGGUACCCCAGUGGUGCAGCCGCUGCUAAAGGUUCGUUUGUUCAACGAUUAAAACCC